This is a long non-coding RNA of Aphis gossypii (cotton aphid), 512 nucleotides long. RefSeq lists it as uncharacterized. Lineage: Eukaryota; Metazoa; Arthropoda; Insecta; Hemiptera; Aphididae. The record is from RefSeq and is a predicted model, not a curated record. The transcript has 10 exons.
GUAAGAUUGCAGAUUCCAAGCUAUACAUGAUUUUUAUGCUUAAUUAUACAUAAAAUUAUUUGAUUUUUAUUUAUACAAAUAACUAAACUUUAUACUAAAUUAUUAAAAUUGUUGUUGCUAUCAAAAAAUUUUAUUAGAAUUAUUGAAAAAAGAUGGAUUUGAUAAACGGACAGGAUUUCAAAAUCUUGCAUCGAAAGUUGCUAAUCUUGAAGUAGAAGACGAAUAUACCGAUCUUAAUGUGCCCAUUGAAUACAAACUACAAGUGGAAAAAGCUAUUGAAAACUACGAUAUGUUACCAGAACAAUUAAGUGCUUAUGGGCUGACUUAUAUGUACCAUCUUUUAGAUUUAGUUAAAAGACCCGAACAAAUGCAACCACCUGAAACAUGGUGUAAGAUUUCCGAAUGUUUAGAAGAGUAUUUAGAAUCAGAUACUCCAUUUGACAAAUAUAUCAAUUAUGCAUCAAUAAAAAUAAAUAAAGUUUCUCCGGGUAUUCGUUUUUGUUAUAUUAAAA